This 37591-nucleotide long non-coding RNA is filed under the name Octopus vulgaris (common octopus). The record is from RNAcentral. Lineage: Eukaryota; Metazoa; Mollusca; Cephalopoda; Octopoda; Octopodidae.
CAUGCAUUCCCUAUCAACACCAGACUCUGUCCUGCAGUGUCGUGUGUGUCCGUGUGUCCUGCGUAUCUGAAGAAACUAUAACCCAGACAGCAAGUACUACCUCACUACUUUCUCCCCAAGGGACAACCCGUCCCCCCUUGCACCUCUCUGCCAAGUCCCACGGCUGGCCUGACUCUAAGGGACAAGGGUAGUGUCCUCCUAGAAUCCCCUGCGGUGGAGAGGGCGAUUCAGGUGACAGCGCUGGGGGGAAAAGGUGCUUCCGGCGGGGGUAGGAUUUGAAACCCUGUCCAACAGCCGAAUUGCUAGCAGGUGCUUUACUCUCUACCACUUGUUCACCAGUGCAAACACACACACAUACACACAAUUACUAGCACAUACAUAUAUAACUAUACAUACAUACAGCCACACAAAUACAUACACACAUAUAGAUACACACAUGCACACUCACAAACACACACACACAUACAUAUAUAUGCAUCUUCAUAUGCACAUACAUAACAUAGAUACAAACACACAUACAUUCAUAAAUUCAUACGUACAUAUACAUACAUACAUACAUAAAUAUAAAUGUACACCAACACGCAUACAUAAAUAAACACAUACAUAUAUUCAUAAAUACAUAUACACAACACACACCCACACAUAUACUCACACACACACACACACGCAGAAACCCAGUCGCACACACUCACACACACACACAGAAACACAGUCACACACACAUACACACACAAAUACACUCAUACAUACACAUACAAAUACACUCACACGUCCCCUCACACACACACACUCAGACAGGCACACACAAACACACACACAGAAAAACAGUCACACACGCGCAAAUACACUCACACAUACACACACAAAUACAAUCACACAUACACACCCACAAAUACUCACACAUGCACACACAUACACACCCACAAAUACACACAUCACACACACACACACCCACAAAUACACUCACACAUACACACACACAAAUACACUCACACAUACACACCCACAAAUACACUCACACAUACACACACACAAAUACACUCACACAUACACACCCACAAAUACACUCACACAUGCACACACACACGUCCCCUCACCCACACGCACUCGCACCACCCCAUCCCCCAGUAAAUUCGACACUCUGCAUCCAUUCAGCCAAAGACAAAGACCGCUUCAAGUCCAGCAUUCACCAAACACCUGGAUUACCGGAAUCAAUACUCAGCAACAAGUGAGAGAGAGAGGACACCAUCAUCACUGCGCACACAAUAUCCUAAACCGAGAUAGACAUAGCCAGCCACCACCACCACCACCACCACCACCACCAUCAUCAUCAUCGUUAUGAACAAUACUGGAAAGAUGCGGUUAGUAAAAUUUCAGUUUUUUAUAUUACAAUUUAUGUAAUUUUAGGUUUUGAAUAUUUUACUUAUAACGGCUUUGGCCAUGCUGGAGCAAGUUCUGGAAGACCUUUGCUGUUGAUCGGUCGAUGGGAAUGGCAUGGGGUUUGGAGAAUGGCCAAGAGGCUUUUGUUGCUGUUGUUGACUGUGUAGUUCUAGCGGUAGAGGCUGUUGUUUAGCCCCAGGUUUGGUCCUAAAUGAGCAGAUCUCUAAUUAAAGACACGAUGUAUCUAGGACUACAUUAUCCCAAUGUGUCCUUCCUUGCUGUUGGUGUUGUUUAGCCACUGGUCAGUCCAGAUCAAGACAGACCUAUGAUCAAAGAUAUUCCAUCUGUGGCCAUCCUGCAUUUCACUGAAGCCUAGUGUAUCUAGGACUACAUUAUCUCAUGUGUCCUUCCUUGCUGUUGAUGCUGUUUAGCCACCGGUCAGUCCAGAUCAAGAUGUACCUAUGAUCAAAGAUGUUCCAACUGUGACCAUCCUGUCUUUUAUUCAGGCAUAGUGUAUCUAGGACUACAUUAUCUAAUGUGACCUUCCUUGUUGUUUAGCCCCAGGUCAGUCCUGAUCCAGCAGACGUAUGAUCAAAGAUAUUCCAUCUGUGACCAUCCUGUCUUUUAUUCAGGCAUAGUGUAUCUAGGACUACAUUAUCCUAAUGUGUCCUUCCUUGCUGUUGAUGUUGUUUAGCCACUGGUCAGUCCAGAUCAAGACAGACCUAUGAUCAAAGAUAUUCCAUCUGUGACCAUCCUGUCUUUUAUUCAGGCAUAGUGUAUCUAGGACUACAUUAUCCUAAUGUGUCCUUCCUUGCUGUUGAUGUUGUUUAGCCCCAGGUCAGUCCUGAUCCAGCAGACCUAUGAUCAAAGAUGUUCCAGCUGUGACCAUCCUGUCUUUUAUUAAGGCAUAGUGUAUCUAGGACUACAUUAUCUAAUGUGUCCUUCCUUGUUUCUUAGUUUAGCCCAGGUCAGUCCUGAUCCAGCAGACCUAUGAUCGAAGAUGUUCCAGCUGUGACCAUCCUGUCUUUUAUUCAGGCAUAGUGUAUCUAGGACUACAUUAUCUAAUGUGUCCUUCCUUGUUGUUUAGCCCCAGGUCAGUCCUGAUCCAGACAGACCUAUGAUCAAAGAUGUUCCAACUGUGACCAUCCCGUCUUUUAUUCAGGCAUAGUGUAUCUAGGACUACAUUAUCUAAUGUGUCCUUCCUUGUUGUUUUUGUUGUAGCCCAGGUCAGUCCUGAUCCAGCAGACCUAUGAUCAAAGAUGUUCCAGCUGUGACCAUCCUGUCUUUUAUUAAGGCAUAGUGUAUCUAGGACUACAUUAUCUAAUGUGUCCUUCCUUGUUGUUGUUUAGCCCAGGUCAGUCCUGAUCCAGCAGACCUAUGAUCAAAGAUGUUCCAGCUGUGACCAUCCUGUCUUUUAUUCAGGCAUAGUGUAUCUAGGACUACAUUAUCUAAUGUGACCUUCUUUGCAUUUGAUCUACCUGAAUUAUAUUCUAAGUCAUUCCAGUCUUGGAAAUGAGUUCCUUUUUUUUAUUUAUUUAGAUAUACUACAUCGUGGGGUACGUUAUCUAAAAUGUCCUUCCUUUAUUAGAACGUUUGGCUGCUAUUCCUAGCAGUCAGAACAACCACAGAGGUGGUCAGUUAUUAGCAUCGCAGAAAACAUAACACGCACCUUGCUCAUUUUCAAACACAAACAUACAUAUACACACACACACACGCUCAUAUAUCUAUAUAUAUUUAUAUAUAUAUCUAUAUCUAUCUAUCUAUCUAUUGUAUUUCGUCUAUUUUCUGUGUUUAGCCCUGUGUGCCAUAAUAAAAAGAUAUACAUAUAUAUAUAUAUAUAUAUGUAUAUAUAUAUAUAUAUAUAUAUAGUGGCUGUGUGGUAAGUAGCUUGCUUAUGAACCACAUUGGUUCCGGGUUCAGUCCCACUGCAUGGCACGUGUCUUCUGCUAUAGCCUUGGGCCGACCAAAGCCUUGUGAGUGGAUUUGGUAGACGGAAACUGAAAGAAGCCCGUCGUAUAUAUGUAUAUAUGUGUGUGUGUGUAUAUGUUUGUGUGUCUGUGUUUGUCCUCCUAGCAUUGCUUGACAACCGAUGCUGGUGUGUUUAUGUCCCCGUCACUUUAGCGGUUCGGCAAAAGAGACCGAUAGAAUAAGUACUGGGCUUACAAAGAAUAAGUCCCGGGGUCGAGUUGCUUGACAAAAAGUUGAUGCUCCAGCAUGGCCGCAGUCAAAUGACUGAAACAAGUAAAUGAGUAAAAGAGUAUAUAUAUAUAUAUAUAUAAAACAUAUAAAAUUUAAAUAAUGAGGGUGAUGAAUUGAAUAUUAAUUUAAAAUCAGUGGCCUAGCAUAUGGAAAAAUCUGAAAAUUCAGAAAAAUUGUAAUACAUGCGUAUAAGAAGGGAUGACCACUAAGUGGACAUCCAAUAUGCUAGAAAUAGAUCAUCUACGAUCUAACCACAAAGGAAAAGAAUGUUCUCUAGAAUCGGUGGCGUAGAGAGGGGAGGCUGGUAUGCAUGGGCGACUGCUGGUCUUCCAUAAACAACCUUACCCAGACUCGUGCCUGGGAGGGUAACUUUCUAUGUGCAAUCCCAUGGUCUGUGUUGUGACCGAAGGGGUCACAACAAUUGUUGUAUUUUGGGAUGGUCAUUUCUUUUUGGCUAAAUAAAUGCAUCCACUAUAUAUAAAUAUAUAUUUGUUUCUUCACUUGUUUAUUACUGUUUUUAUUUUAACUCCUGUCCUCUGUCCGGAAAUCUUUCAUCACACAUCUGUGACCUCUUCAGCGACACUUUACAUUUUCGUGUGUGUUCUUGGUCCACGAAAACGCAAAGUGUCGCUGAAGAGGUUACAGAUGUGUAAUGAAAGAUUUCCGGACAGAGGACAUCAAUUAAAUAUAAUAAAAAAAGGACAGUAAUAAGGGAGAGAAGGAAAAUAUAUAUAUAUAUAUAUAUAUAUAUCAUCAUCAUCAUCAUCAUCGUUUAACGUCCAUUCUCCAUGCUAGCAUGGGUUGGACGGUUCGACCAGGGAUCUGGGAAGCCAGAAGGCUGCACCCGGCUCCAGUCUGAUCUGGCAAUGUUUCUACAGCUGGAUGCCCUUCCUAACGCCAACCACUCCAAGAGUGUAGUGGGUGCUAUUUACGUGCCACCUGCACAGGUGCCAGACAAGGCUGGCAAAUGGCCACGAUCGGAUGGUGCUUUUUACAUGCCACCUGCACAGGUGCCAUAUAUAUAUAUAUAUAGUGUGUGUGUUCAUAUGGCAAAAAAAAAAAAAGGAAAAAAUUACCAUACCGAAAUACAACAAUAUCCAUUUCAAUAGACAAUUUCACAUCAGGAAUCUUGCAAAGCAAAUUGAUAUAUAUAUAUAUAUCAUAGGUGUAGGAGUGGCUGUGUGGUAAGUAGCUUGCUUACCAACCACAUGUUCCUAGGUUCAGUCCCACGGCAUGGCACCCUGGGCAAGUGUCUUCUACUAUAGCCUUGGGCCGACCAAAGCCUUGUGAGUGGAUUUGGCAGACGGAAACUGAAAGAAGCCCGUCGUAUAUAUAUAUAUGCAUAUAUAUGUGUGUAUACGUUUGUGUGUCUGUGUUUGUCCCCCCAACAUCGCUUGACAAGCGAUGCUGGUGUGUUUAUGUCCCCGUAACUUAGCAGUUCAGCAAAAGAGACCAACAUAUUAAGUACUAGGCUUACAAAGAAUAAGUCCUAGGGUCGAUGUGCUUGACUAAAGGCAGUGCUGAAGCAUGGCCACAGUCAAAUGACUGAAACAAGUAAAAGAGUAAGAGAUGUAAAAAUAACCAGGAGAGUUUCAGCCUUAUUAGGACUUUUCAGCAAAGAAUGAUGUCUUGGUGUAAGUCUUAGGAUCUUGAAAGAAGAACUAAGAAUUUUCGUCUAUAAAUGCAGGGUGGCUGGUAAAAAGGAAAAACUGGCCCCAUGGCCUGGGUUUGGGAAUCAUAUAUCUUUAUAUAUAAAAGUCAAGUUGUAUGGUGUCUGUCUCUGACGUAUUAGAUUCCUUACUCCCACAUUUUGUGGUGCAGUUUAACCAAAAGUGGGUAUCUUAUAGUCGUGAUUCAUAUCGAGCCCUUCUGGGUAUGAGCGCGCGUCUACGAUUUCUAAAAUAAUUUACCAUCAUUUUUUUCCCAUUUUAAUGCAUUUUUUCACUAUUAUAUAAGGGAAGUAACUCUCUAAAAAUGCUUAUAUAGUUAUUUCCCUUACAAACCCGAGCAACGCCGGCUGAUACUGCUAGUAUAUAUAUAUAUAUAUAUAUAUAUAUAUAUAUAUAUAUAUAUAUAUAUAUUAUAUAUAGUGUAUGUUUUUAUAUAUAUAUAUAUAUAUAUAUAUGUGUGUGUAUAGUGUGUGUGUGUGUGUGUUUGUGUAUAUAUGUGUCUGUUUAUGAAUGUGUAUGCAUGUGUGUGUGUGUGUUUCUGUAUUUAAGUGUCUGUAUGUGUUAGUGUUUGCUUUUGAGUAUGUGUGUGGGUGAAUAUGUGUGUAUGUUUGUGUAUAUAUGUGUCUGUGUAUGAAUGUGUCUGUGUAUGAAUCUGUGUGUAUCCAUAUAUAUGUCUGUGUGCAUGUGUAUGUGCUUAUGUGUGUAUAUGUGUGAGUGUUGUCACGCUACAUGCUUUAGUAACAAUGUCUGGUUCUUUUCCCACCGAGUUGCCUUUCUUAUCCAUUCUAUAUCUGUGUCUUGGAGAGGCUGAAGAUUCUGGCAGAUGCAAAGAAAACCCAUUGUCUAUACACUCAUGCGUGUAUAUAUGUGUACACACACUAUAUAUCUAAUAUAUAUGUGUGUGUGUGUGUGUGUGUGUGUGUGUAUGUAUAUAUAUAUACACACACACACCCACACAUAUAUAUACAUAUAUACACACAUACAUAUAUGUGUGUGUGUGUGUGUGUGUGUGUGAUGUAUAUAAAUAAUUAAAAAUACACAGGACAUUACCAGUGAGUGAAAAAUACGUAAACACACAAGAGAUUGAGAGAUAAGUAGAGGAUGUAUUUUUAGUUACAUGUAAUUGAAUGCCACACAACCUUUGUCAACAGUCAGUUUUUACAUUUAUAUAUAUAUAUUUAAAUGUACACUAAUUUUAUAUAUAUAUAUACAUACAUACAUAUACAUAUACACACACACACACACACACACAUAUAUAUAUAUAUAUACAUAUAUAUAAUAAAAAGGGUAAAUAAUUUUUUUCAGGGUUUUUUAGACAGAGCAACCUGUUGCCUGCCCUUUUAAUUACUACUAUACACACACAUAUAUAUAUAUAUAUAUACACAUAUAUAUAUACAUAUACAUAUAAUAAUAUAUAUACAUAUACAUAUAUAUAAACUGCCAAAAUGACCAUUUCGAAAUAUAACAAUAUAUAUAUAUAUAUAUGUAUGUAUGUAUACUAGCAGUAUCGCCCGGCGUUGCUCGGGUUUGUUUCGACCCUUUAGAAUUGGAAUUUUUGAAAAGUAAAAAUUUGGCAUUAUGUAGCUUGUUAUUCUCUUUAACCCUUUAGUGUUCAGAUUAUUCUAUCAAACAUAAUGCCUAUUGAUUCCAUUGAUUUGAAUUAAUCAUGCAUUAUCUCAUAUCUUCAAGAUCUUAAUGGUGUAAUUACUUAAUGUAGAAUAACAUUGUAUGGUAGGUGUGAGAGUCUGGAUCUGGUCAGUUUGAACAUAAAACGGAUUAGCUAUUUUGGCCGGAUAUGGCCGGUUUAAAUACUAAAGGGUUAAGUGAACAUUUUUCUGGUUGAAAUACACCGAAAAAUGGCAACACAGCAGUCAAAAAAUCGUAAAAAAUAGGGAUUUUCAUAGAAAAAAAAGCACCUUUUUGAUGCAAAUAAUUUUUGGUCUUAACAUGGUUCGAUUUGAAUUUUUUCUUCUACGGUGCUUGUGUGUGUUUGUCUCUCUAGCAUCGUUUGACAACUGGUGUUGGUGUGUUUACAUCCCCAUAACUUAGCAGUCAGGCAAAAGGAGACCAAUAGAAUGAAUACUAAGCUAACAAAGAAAAUCAACAAUCUGGAGUGUUUAUUUUAAUGGCCUACCAAUGUAUACCAAUGUAUACAGUAUGUUUCAGUGACCAUGUAUUCAUUCCCACUGCAUGGCAUCUUGGGCAAGUGUCUUCUACUAUAGCUCUGUGUGUGUGUGUAUGUGUGUCUGUAUUUGUCCCCUAACCACCGCUUGACAACCGAUGCCUGUGACUAAGCUGCUCGGCAACAGCGACUGAUAGAAUAAGAAAUGUAUUGGGAGCGAUAUAUUUCACUAAAAGUUCUUCAAGGGGAUGCCUUCAGGGGGGUUCUAACGGCGUUCAGGCGAAUAUACCGGCAUUGCUGUAGCAACGACCGAAAUAUUAUCCAGGUAAAUCUAACAGUAGAAGACUAAUUAAAUUUACGAUAACAAACGUAUUUGAAAAGUCCGAACCCUAGGUCCUAGAUCAGUGCUUUUCAAACUUUUUGCUGGAGCGGAACCCCAAGGAAACAUUCCACUGGCUCGAGGAACCCCUGUGCAAUAAUUUAAUAGUCUUAUGCACACAUAUCUGCACAGGAGAAUUAGAAAUUACUGCCGAUUUUUAGGAGUUUUGUAACUUCUUGCGGAACCCCUGGACUGUACUGGCGGAACCCUGGUUGAAAACCACUGUCCUAGAUUAUCCGAUUCUGAGUUGCCCAUUUAUCUAAUGUUCUUCCUUUGCCAGUAUAUACACAGUAAAGGUUUACUAUAGCAUCGUAAAAUUAUCGACUGCUAUUUACAGUAAGCAUUGGCUCCUUGUUGUACCACUUCUCUAUAUUUAUACUUCUACCUUUACGUUCCUUUAUUUGACUGGAAAACAACAUUUCCAGUCAAUAUGUAAUUUUUCAUUGAAAACUUUUUUGAUUGUUCUCAGUUCUGUUAACGGUUAGGCGUUCAGACGAGUAUACUGGCAUUGACGUAGCAAGAUUUGAAAUAUUCUCCAGGUAAAUCUAGCUAAGACUAAUCAAAUUUACGAUAACAAACGUAUUUGAAGAGUCCAAAACCUCGGAACUAGAUUAUCCGAUUCUGGGUUGUCCAUUUAUCCAAUGUUCUUCCUAGAGGUAAGACGAAAUUUUUUGCUCGCUGCCUUCACGCAUCUUUGCCUAUAUAUACAUAGUAAAGCUUUACUAUAGCGUUGUAAAUUUGUCAACUGCUAUUUCCAGUAAACAUUGGUGCCUUGGGAUCUUUUCCUUUUGAUGGACGGAAUUUCUAGUUAACUAAACAAUUUGAAACUUCGUAUACUGGUAGAAUGUGUCAAAAGAAAACAAUAUUUUCACUUGGCUUCUUUGAGAAAAUUGUAAUUUGUAAGUUUAAUGUAGUUUAAUUCUUCGAAUUUUAACCAAUGAAAUCCCAGCAUUUGAGCUCAAAUCAUUUGCUGCGUCUAAAAACUCAGACAAUAUCCUCUUGCAACGUAAACAGCACACACACACAAACGUGUUAUUCAUCCUUCUCUCUUCUGUCUGUUUGAUAAACAAAGGCAGAAGGAGGAGGAAUAUGCUAGAAAUAACAGCUAUAUCUCUUAAAUCAAUGAAUUUUGUCGCCCAAUAAAAUUAUCAACGAUAUUUUUUAAAUAUUUUCUUAAUUUUUUUUUACCGAGAAAGGCUUCUCCCAUGGUUUUGAAGGGCCAAAAACAACAAAAACAAAACAAUAAUAUGCCUAAAUUGGUCUAGAGGGUGCACGUGGAGUGUGGGUCGUAUUGUAAAAAUUUGUGAAAUAUUUUUUCAUAAAAGGAUGCCCCAGCUUGUCGGAGGCUGUGAUAUAAAUUGGGAAAAAAAUCCUCGACACCAGUGCGUAAUUGGUACUUAAUUUAUCGACCCCGAAACGAUGAAACAUUGACCCCCACCUUCUGGUUUAUUUACCUUUUGUCUAAAUUUGUUGCGGCAAGGGGCAAAACACAGAGGGGACAAAGCAUGAGAUACAAAAGUAUUAAGUCGAUUCUACCGACACCAGUGCGAACUCACGAACGUGUAUGUAUGCUUGUGUGCGUAUGUGUGUGUAUGUAAAUCUCCGUUUGUAUAUGUGUGUACGCUUAUAUAUUAAUUACUAUGUGCUUGUGCAAAUGUAUAUGCAUGUGUUUGAGAGAGAGAGAGAGAGUGACAGAGAGUGUGUGUGUGUGUGCAAGUGUACGUGUGUAUGUAUCUGAAUAUAUGUGUGUGUGUGUGUAUGCGGCUUGCGUCUGCUAUGUUUGUUUAUCAAUAUCGAUAACGCAGCAAAUGAUUUGAGCUCAAAUGCUGGCAUUUCAUUGGUUAAAAUUCGAAGAAUUAAACUACGUUAAACUUACAAAUUACAAUUUUGUUUACAAUAUUGUUUUCUUUUGACACAAUCUACCAGUAUACAAAGUUUCAAAUUGUUUAGUUAACUAGAAAAGAAAUAUAUACAUGUGAACGUUUAUGAAUUGUGAAAUAAACUCUCUCUUCAAUGGUUUAUUGGUUUUCUGCAGAAUAAGGCCUCAAUUUCUUUGAAUUCACAGUUAACAAGGGUCCCACCAUUUUCUGGUAGGUUCUUUCAUUUUAAUACUUUAUCCACCAUGUUACGUUUUUUUUUAUUGCCAUUUUAUUCCAUUUCAUUUAAUUAGCUCCUUUAUUAUCGUCCCAGUUGCCCUGUUUUAUUGCCACAAUUUCUUUAAAAAAUGUCUUUUAUGACCAAUCUCAUUAAGUAUUCCGUUUAACUAUUUCACAAGUUAUUUUAUUUGCUUCUGUUAGCUACACACAUACAAAGAACUUCGGUGUCAUUAAUAUCACUAUCCGUUUGCCUAGAUAGAAAUAUCUAAGGCGGCCAGCAGGCAGAAUCAUUAGCACAGCGGUAAAAAUGCAUAGCGGCAUUUCGCCUGUCUUUACGUUCUGAGUUCAAAUUCUGCCAAGGUCGAUUUUGCCUUUUAUCCUCACGGGGUCGAUGAAUUAAGUACCAGUGAAAUAUCUGGGCCGAUGUAAUGGACUAGUCUUCUCCCCCAAAUUUCGGACCUUGUGUCUAUAGUAAAAAGGGUUAUUAUCCCUAUCCGUUUCCCUAAUUCUUUGCCUUGAAAGAAACAAUGUAGGCGCAGGAGGGGCUGUGUGGUAAGUAGCUUACUUACAAACCACAUGGUUCCAGGUUCAGUCCCACUGCGUGGCACCUUGGGCAAGUGUCUUCUACUCUAGCCUUGGGCCAACCAAAGCCUUUCAGCUUCCGUCUACCAAAUCCACUCACAAGGCUUUCGUCGGUCCAAGGCUAUAGUAGAAGACACUUUCCCAAGGUGCCACACAGUGGGACUGAACCUGGAACCAUGUGGUUGGUAAGCAAGCUACUUACCACACAGCCACUCCUGCGCCUAUGAUGUGUAUAUAUGUGUGUGUAUGCAUGCGUGUGUACAUGUAUGUGUGCAUGUAUAAGUAUCUGUGUGUGUACACACACACACAUGUGGAUGUGGUGUAUGUGCGUAUAUACUUGUGUCUGUAUAUGUUUUUACAUGAUGUCUUAGCAGUUCAACAAAUAGUGAUCGACAAAAGUCAGGCAGUAUUACUCAGAGGGCAAUAUCUCGGGUAAAAUUGUUUUCGAUAUUACUCCAGCAUGGCCGCAGUCCAAUGGCUGGCUCCAGUAAAACAGCUACGAAACCCUCACCAUUGUGAUUGUAGUUAUCUUGUGCCCUUCUCUGUAUCUGGACAACAUUUUAGCUGCCCCCUAACCCCCCACCCCCUCCACUGCCAAUGCCCAGAAUUUCUGUCAGUUUCACAAAUUAUGGAUUCAGCCAUUUUUGUCAUUCUUUUUCUUAGUCUUUGAUGACAAUGUCGGGCCUCUUGACGGUAACGUUUAACACCAUUACCUUGCCAGCUCACAGCAGUUGUCAUUUCUGUCUUUUCACACACACACACACACACAUAUAUACACACAUACCCACACACACACACAGACAUUUACACAUGCACACAUACAUACAUACCAUACAUACAUGCAUAUGCACAAACACACAUACAUGUAUAUGCAUACAUAUGAACACACACACACGUAUGCAUAUACACACACAUACAGAUACACAUGCGCACAUACAUACCAUACAUACAUUGACACACACAUGCAUAAACACAUACAUGCAUAUGCAUACAUAUGAACACACACACACAUAUACAUGCACAUACAUACAUGCAUAUACAUACACAUACAUACGUACAUAUUCAUAAUAUAUAUAUGUGUAUAUCUAUGUGUGUAAAUAUAUGCAUGUGCAUAUACAUAUACAUUUACAAACACACACACACACACACACAUGUAUGUAUUUAUAUUCAUACACACACACACAAACCUGUACACACGUCCCACACACACAUCUGUCUCUGUUGCUAUGUCAUUCAUCGAAAUUCUUUCAAGUCGACACUUUCUUGUCAUUUCGUUUCAUUGUUUCCUCAAAAAAAGAGACAGAUACCCUCCAUCCAUGCCCUCCACUUCGAGCUACAGCAAAGAAGAGAAACCCACGUCUUUACUUGAUAACUUUAUUGAAGCCUUGAAGCCAUAUCAUCUUUGGCACUUCUCAUAUUUUCUUUUUUCUCUUUUGGUAUGAUUCCAAAGUUUACCAAGAACAGAAAACAAUAAGAAGCAUAACCACACGCUUUGCUCCGCUGUCAUUCUUUCAUAAUGGUUUGCACAGUUCCUGGCUAAUGACGUCGUUCCUCCAUAUCUGGCUAUCAUUUAAGACCCGUGUUAAGGCAGUUCAAACAGGGUGUUUGUUAACAUAAGAUCCUUUAAACCUCCCAACACUGCAGAUUUUCCAGUACCAUAUUUUGCCAUAACAUUUGGCCAAACCUUCAAUAGGAGCUUUGAGUAACUCAAAUCUUCAUCAUCAUCAUCGUUUAAUGUCUGCUUUCCAUGCUGGCAUGGGUUGGACGAUUUGAGUGAGGACUGGCGAACCAGAUGGCUGUACCAGGCUCCAAUCUUGAUCUGGCAGAGUUUCUACAGCUGGGUGCCCUUCCUAAUGCCAACCACUCCGAGAGUGCAGUGGGUGCUUUUAUGUGCCACCAGCACGAGGGCCGGUCAGGCAGCACUAGCAACGGCCAUACUCAAAUGGUGGUUUUCAUGUGCCACCUGUGUGGGAGCCAGUCCAGUGGCACUGCAACAUCAUCGUUUAACGUCCGCUUUCCAUGCUGGCAUGGGUUGAACGAUUUGACUGACGACUGGCGAACCAGAUGGCUGCACCAGGCUCCAGUCUUGAUCUGGCAGAGUUUCUACAGCUGGGUGCCCUUCCUAACGCCAACCACUCCACGAGUGUAGUGCCAGUCAGGCGGUACUGGCAACGGCCAUGCUCAAAUGGUGCUUUUUACAUGCCACCUGCAUGGGAGCCAGUCCAGUGGCACUACAUCAUCAUCAUUUAACAUCCACGAGCAACAUGUAACACAAAACCCUUUCAGGACAUCAAUUCUGUUGAUGAUUUUAUCAUCAAUAACGCAAAGCGCCGAAGAGAGUUCUGUGAAACAGAAGUUCAAGUAGAAGAACCUCCAAGAUUAAAUCGAAGGUCAAGAAGAUAAAUUGAGGACCAUUUUUAAGUCACAACCUUUUCAAGUCGGUGCAAAAAUUAGAAGGAAAUAAUAUAAACAAAACACGCGGCAUUUUAAGAUGGAGAUGAUAAUGUGGACAGGAACACAUUUGCGGUACUUUGAUGUGAGAAAAAUUAUUUUAAACGACUUCCAAGUAGUAAAUUCUCACGCAGCCGAGAAGCAAUAUCAGAAGCACUUGGCAGUUCAUCAGGUGCAGAUACCCUUGGAGAAAUAACGAGAUAAGCGUAAAAGUGUGAUAGAAAGAAUUUUUGAAAAGUUCUUGGUGUAAGUGCCAUUUAUAGUGAAGUACCUAAAAGCAGAAGAAAGAAAAAAACGGCGUAGCACUGCAGGAACUGUGACCUGUCAGUGCAGAGUGGCAGCCACCCAACCUAGAGAGACUCUUUGAUCUCUGAACUGUGCACUCGGUUGGAUAAUGGCCAUGCUCAAAUGGUGGUUUUUAUGUGCCACCUGUGUGGGAGACAGUCCAGCGGCAUUGCAUCAUCAUUGUUUAAUGUCCGCUUUCCAUACUAGCAUGGGUUGGGCGGUUUGACUAAGGACUGGCAAACCAGAUGGCUGCACCAGGCCCCAAUCUUGAUCUGGUAGAGUUUCUACAGCUGGAUGCCUUUCCUAACGCCAACCACUCCGAGAGUGUAGUGGGUGCUUUUAUGUGCCACCAGUACGAGGGCCAGUCAGGCGGAACUAGCAACGGCCAUACUCAAAUGGUGGUUUUUAUGUGCCACCUGCAUGGGAGCCAGUCCAGCGGCACUGCAUCAUCAUCAUUUAACAUACAAUUUCCAUGCUGGAAGGCACAUGGCUCAGUGGUUAGUGCAUCAGGCUUACAAUCAUGAAGUAGCAAGUUCAAUUGCCAGGCCAGGCUGUGUGUUGUGUUCUUGAGCAAGACACUUUAUUUCACGUUGCUGCAGUUCACUCAUCUGUAGAAAAUGAGUUGCGACAUCACUGGCGCCAGGCUGUAUCGGCCUCUUUGAGAUUAUUUGGAGGAAUCCUAUUUUGGCCACUUGCAUUCGGGAUCCUACUCUUUCAGUCACCACUCAUCUCAAAAAACAUCUCUGAAGAUAUAGACUUAGUUGUCUUGGAAAUACAGGGUUUGCUGUCUGUACUAAAGGGUUAACGAAAAGCUCUAUCUGCAACGAUUUCAUCUCAACUGAAGGAGAGGGGCUUUCUCUGUCCGGGUUGCGGAUCCGUGGAAUAAGCUGCCGGACGAGAUGGUGAAGAAGCCGACGACCGCUCGGUUCAAAGUCUCCCUUGACCACAAGUGGCCUGAACUCUUUACAUGAACACCACCCUGUACAUAACUCCAUGUCCCCCUACAUGGCCUUGCUUUUUUGCUUUUUGAGCCAAAAAAAUUAACUUAACUUAACACACACACACACACAGAGAGAGAAAAGCUCUAUCUGCAACGAUUUCAUCUCAAUUGAAGGAGAGGGGCUUUCUCUGUCCGGGUUGCGGAUCCGUGGAAUAAGCUGCCGGACGAGAUGGUGAAGAUGCCGACGAACGCUCGGUUCAAAGUCUCCCUUGACCACAAGUGGCCUGAACUCUUUACAUGAACACCACCCUGUACAUUACUCCAUGUCCCCCUACAUGGCCUUGCUUUUUGCUUUUUGAGCCAAAAAAUUAACUAACUAACUACGAGACAAGAGCAAAAAUAUUUUCAUAAAUAUUCAGACAUCCUGUAUUUGGACUGAAACACAAAGAUAAGCAGGUGAAAGACACUAAAGUCGUUCAGCCACGACAUAUAUAAGAGCUACACAAUAACUAGAGAUCACUGGUUGUCUGCCAAGACUUCCCAGAAAUCAGGCGACAUGGUUGAGAAUAUUAGUUGUGAUUGAGUGUGUGUUGUUAGAUUUUGACUAGUUUGUUGUUUUGGUGCCUCUGGGAAUUUGUUACUCUGUCAGGGCUGCUGUUAAGAAAAUAACAUACUUGAUUAUUAAUGAGCCAACAACCAUACAUACAUACAUACGUAUAUACAUACAUACAUACAUACAAAGCUGAAGAUCAGUGAAAAAGAGAACACUUAUGCUGAACUAUUGAAAAAUCUGCAGUUAUUCUAUCCAGAUUACAAGUUCAGGUUUAUACCUGUAAUUAUUGGGGCCCUGGGAUGUGUAACACACUGCCUAGAUACCAAUCUUGAGAAAUUAGGAUUCUCUAAAUCAGAAAGGAGAAAGCUGAUUCAAAGACUACAGAUCCAAUCCAUCACUGGAACUGUAAAAAAAAAAUUCUUUUACUUUUUUUUACUCUUUUACUUGUUUCAGUCAUUUGACUGUGGCCAUGCUGGAGCACCGCCUUUAGUCAAGCAAAUCGACCCCAUGACUUAUUCUUUGUAAGCCUAGUACUUAUUCUACCGGUCUCUUUUGUCGAACCGCUAAGUUACAGGGACGUAAACACACCAGCAUCGGUUGUCAAGCAAUGUUGGGGGGACACAAACAUACAAACAUACACACACACACAUAUAUAAGUUCUGGGGUCAAUUUGCUCAACUAAAAGGGGGUGCUCCAGCAUGGCCACAGCCAAAUGACUGAAACAAGUAAAAGAGUAAAGAGUAUAUAUAUACACACACAACACCACAUAUGCAUGUCCUUACCCUACAUGUCAAGUCUCUGACCAUAAUUGGCAUUAAUUGGUUGGGGAAUAGGGGAGGAGGGAGAGCGGGCGGGGGGGUUUGUUCCUGUCUUUUCCUCCUGGUUCUUUUGUAUGCCCUCUACUACUGUAUAUAUAAACAUACAUAUAUAUAUGUUUAUGUAUGUGCGUAUUCAUACUACAUACAUACGUACAUACAUAUAUAUAUAUACAUAUAUAUAUAUAUAUAUAUAUAUGUUGGUAUAUCUAUAUAUAUGUAUGUAUAUAUAUAUAUAUGUAUAUAUAUAUGUAUGUAUAUAUGUGUAUAUAUAUAUAUAUGUAAAUAUAUAUAUAUGUAUGUAUAUAUAUAUAUGUAUAUAUAUAUGUACGUAUAUAUAUAUGUGUGUAACCCAUGCCAGCAUGGAAAGCGGACGCUAAAUGAUGAUGAUGAUGAUGAUAUAUAUAUAUAUAUAAAUAUAUAUGUAUAUAUAUAUAUAUGUGUAUAUAUAUAUAUGUGUGUGUAUGUAAUAUAUAUGUAUAUGUAUAUGUAAGAAUAAAUAUAUAUAUAUGUGUGUGUGUAUGUGUAUGUAUGUGUAUAUAUGUAUAUAUGUAUAUAUAUAUAUAUAUAUAUAUAUAUAUAUAUAUAUAUAUAUAUAUACAUAUAUAUGUAUAUAUCUGUAUGUGUAUAUAUUUAUAUAUGUGUGUAUGUAUGUACGUGUCACAUAGGUAGUGGUGUGGUCCAGUCAAGUAGGAUGUGGGUAGCAAGAACCACUUGUGUGUCUGUGCAAAUGGUUGACUGUCAAAGCAGUCCUUAACUAAAACGAAUUACUUUUUGCUAAAGACUUUACUUAGUAAUUUGGUUUUAUGCUUUUUUGAAUAUCUGAAGUUCCAUUUGUUAUUCUGUGAAAGUUGAUGAGAUAAAAAUUAAGGUUUGAAAAGUAAAAUCAAGCCACAAAGUUUUUAACCCUUUAGUGUUUAAACCGGCUAUAUCCGGCUCAAAUAUUCUACUCAUUUUAUGCUCAAACUGGCCAGAACCAGCCUCUCACACCUACCCUGCAAUGUCAUUCUAAAAAUAAACAAUUACAUCUUUCAAAUUUUGAAACUACAAGAUAAUAUCAGAUAAAUUUUUUUAAUUGUAAAUGAAUAAGGAUUACUUCUGACAUAUUAAUUCGAACGCUAAAGGGUUAAUGUGGCCAUGUUUGCUUGUCUUCUAUUUAUUCUGAUCCUUUCUGUUUGGUUCCCACUUUUAAAUUCCUUCAGUUUUGUUGCUAUUGAUUUCAAACUUGGUGUAUUUGUGUAGUUUUAUAUGCUAAUUUAUGGGAGUGAAAUUCAUUUUAGCCAUAAAUUUAUAAAUAAAGAGUCAGUAUCUUUUAAAGUUUGUAAAUUUUGGGUAAUUUUAGCCAAUCGAAAGCCAGAGGCAUUUUAGUGCCUGUUUCCAUAAUAACACACCAAGGUAUUAUCUGCUUCACCUGGCAGCUAUUUUUUUUUUCUUCGUGAAGCAGUUAUUUUUAAUUACUGUCCUGUCGCUACCUCAUUUUCAUAAUUUUGGAACUGUUUUCCUGGACAUUUCUACUAUAGCCCCGGGCCGACCAAUGCCUUGUGAGUCGAUUUGGUAGACGGAAACUGAAAGAAGCCCAUCGUAUAUGUGUGUGUGUGUGUGUGUGUGUGUAUAUGUUUGUAUGUCUGUGUUUGUCCCCCCAACAUCGCUUGACAACCGAUGCCAGUGUGCUUACGUCCCCGUAACUUAGUGGUUUGGCAAAAGAGGCCGAUAGAAUAAGUACUAGGCUCCCAAAGAAUAAGUCCUGGGAUCGAUUUGCUCGACUAAAGGUGGUGCUCCAGCAUGGCCACAGUCAAAUGACUGAAACCAGUAAAAGAGUAAAAGAGUCAUAACAUUAUUGAAACCUCAAAGCCGUGAGAUAAUCCAUGAUUAAUUCAAAAGAAUGUGAAUAAUGAAGCAUUACAUUUGACUGGGUAAUCUGGAUAUUAAGGCUUAAGUCAAGGUUUUAUCCCAAAAGCUAUCGUUAAUUUAACCCUUUUGAUACCAACCCGGCUGAAACCACCUCUGGUUCUUUAGUAUAAGUGUCUUGUUUUCAUAAGUUUUGAAUUAAAAUCUUCCACCAAACCUUAGUCACAAUUUAUGUUCCAAGCACCAGCUGAAUGAUAACCAAGUUAUUUUACUAAAUUCUUUGUUAUAUUUAAAAUUAAUUGAAAGAAACACAGAGCAUCUCAACAGAAAUACGGUAACAAAAGGGUUAAAAUAUAUAAUAGAGAAACAAUUCUUAACCCUUUUGAUACCAACCCGGCUGAAACCAGCUCUGGAUCUGAGUACAAAUGUCUUGUUUUCAUAAGUUUUAAAAUAAAAUCUUCCACCAAACCUUAGUCACAAUUUAUGUUCCUAACACUAGCUGAAUGAUAACUAAGUUAUUUUACUAAAUUCUUUCUUAUAUCUAAAAUAAUUGAGAGAAACACAGAGCAUCUCAAAAUAAAUACAGUAACGAAAGGGUUAAAAUAUAUAAUAGAGAAUCAAUUCUUAACCCUUUUGAUACCAACCUGGCUGAAGCCGGCUCUGGCUCUGUAGUACAAAUGUCUUGUUUUCAAAAGUUUUGAAUUAAAAUCUUCCACCAAACCUUAGUCACAAUUUAUGUUCCUAACACCAGCUGAAUGAUAACUAAGUUAUUUUACUAAAUUCUUUGUUAUAUUUAAAAUUAAUUAAAAGAAACACAGAGCAUCUCAAAAUAAAUACAGUAACGAAAGGGUUAAAGCCGCUGUUUUUAUUUAAGAAAUAUAACACAGUGGCUAAGUUCCUUUCAAGCGUUGGGCCUCACGGAGGCAAUGACCAAGACCUUUGGCAUUAUGUUGUGGUUGAGAAGAAGUCCCAUCAAGUCGAGAAAAAUUGCAGUUGUGGCAGAUAACUGGUAUCACGCAAAUGGCACCUGUGCCGGUGGCUCAUAAAAGCACCCGUUACAUUCUCGGAGGAGUGGUUGGCAUUAGGAAGGGCAUCAAGCCAUUGAAAACCAUGCCCAAAUCAGACUGGAGCCUGCUGCAGCCUUCCAGCGUGCCAGCCCAGUAAAACCGUCCAACCCAUGCCAGCAUGGACAAUGGACGUUAAAUGAUGAUGAUGAUGGUGGUAGUGGUGGUGGCGAUGAUGGUGAUGAUGAUGAUGGUUUUGAUGAUGAUGGUGGUGGUAGUGGUGAUGAUGGUGGUGGUGGUAGUGAUGAUGAUGGUGGUGGUAGUGAUGAUGAUGGUGGUGGUAGUGGUGAUGAUGGUGGUGGUAGUGGUGAUGAUGGUGGUGGUAGUAGUGAUGAUGGUGGUGGUAGUGGUGAUGAUGGUGGUGGUAGUAGUGGUGAUGAUGGUGGUGGUAGUAGUGAUGAUGGUGGUGGUAGUGGUGAUGAUGGUGGUGGUGGUGGAUGUGGCUGUAGUACUGGUAGUGGUUGUAUAGGUAGUGUUGAUAGAAGUGGUAGUGGUGACUGCCGUGUGGUGGUGGUGGUUGCAGUUGUAGCCGAGGUGCUAAGGACAUUUGCUUGCAAAACAGUUGUGCAUAAUUAAUUAUCUAAUUAGGAGACAUUUUAUACAGUCCGCUAAUAAGCAGACAUUUAGCUUUAGAGAAGUAUUUAAUUAGACAUAUUUAAUUAAACAAAUAUUUAAUUUGACAAACAAAUAAACAGGUAAGUCUUAGUAAAUUUUCAGAAUGGCUUCCGGAAUAUUUUUGGUAAAAAGAAAGAAAUAGUCGCAGGAAUGGCUGGGUGGUAAGAAGCUGUCUUCCCAACCACAUUUGGGAAUUGGUGAAUGAACAGGUUGCCAUAAUGUUUUGGAAAAAUAAUUUGGUAUACAUUUACUCUUUUACUUCUUUCAGUCAUUUGACUGCGGCCAUGCUGGAGCACCGCCUUUAAUCGAGCAACUCGACCCAGGGACUUAUUCUUUUUGUAAGCCCAGUACUUAUUCUAUCAGUCUCUUUUGCUGAACCACUAAGUAACGGGGACAUAAACACACCAGCAUCGGUUGUCAAGCGAUGUUGGGGGGACAAACACAGACACACGCACAUAUAUAUAUACAUAUAUACGACAGGCUUCUUUCAGUUUCCGUCUACCAAAUCCACUCACAAGGCUUUGGUCGGCCCGGGUCUAUAGCAGAAGACACUUGCCCAAGGUGCCAUGCAGUGGGACUGAACCCGGAACCAUGUGGUUGGUAAACAAGCAACUUACCACACAGCCUGACUUUAGUUUUUUAAAAAAAAAAGGAAAAGUAAGAAAUAAAUCCUGUUUGAACAUUCGUUUAAAAGGUGUAAUUAUAGGCGAGCUGGCAGAAUCGUUAGCACGCCAGACGAAAUGCCAAGAGGUAUUUCGUCUGCCGCUACGUUCUGAGUUCAAAUUCUGCCGAGGUCGACUUUGCCUGUCAUCCUUUCGGGGUCGAUUAAAUAAGUACCAGUUAUGCACUGGGGUUGAUAUAAUCGACUUAAUCCAUUUGUCUGUCCUUAGCCCCUUGUGGGCAAUAAAGAAAUAGGUAUUUCGUCUGCCGCUCCGUUCUGAGUUCAAAUUCUGCCGAGGUCGACUUUGCCUGUCAUCCUUUCGGGGUCGAUUAAAUAAGUACCAGUUACGUACUGGGGUUGAUAUAAUCGACUUAAUCCGUUUGUCUGUCUUUCUUUGUCCCCUCUGUGUUUAGCCCCUUGUGGGUAGUAAAGAAAUAGGUAUUUCGUUUGUCUAUCUAUCUAUCUUUCUACCUGUCUGUCUGUCUAUCUAUCUAUCUGUCUGUCUGUCUGUCUAUCUAUCUAUCUUUCUACCUGUCUAUUUGUCUAUCUACCUAUUUGUCUCAGUCCUGUUUCACCACACUCUCCAGUCUUACCAGUAACUUGGUUCUGCUCUGUGAUACUUGCCUCUCAAUCAUAACCGAGCGAGGCUGUAGAUACACAACAAGGCACCCGACCUUCCCCUUCCCCCAACCAACGCCAUGCUCUUCACCAUCUUCCUUCCUUGUUUAUUUCUAAAUGUUGUUCAACCCCAUCCAUUGUGGCCUUCCUGCACCUCCAAGGGAAUUAUCUAAAACUGGUGUACUGUUUCAUUGAUAACACAGUUUGGGUCUCUGCCUAAGCUUUAUCGACAUCACAGCGAAACAGAGAAAGCCUUAUUCUGUCAAGUCUACAUCUCUCCUCGACAGACUGUCGUAUUGUCUAUUGAUCUGAUGAGGAGACUGACACUGGUCGGCUCACACGACUAUGAUAACAUUGUUUUAUCUCUGCUAUUAAGUUAUGAGGUUCCGAUGAUGUGAUGGAGAUAGAAGCAACUUGCCUCUCACAUGGUUUAUAUUUCACGCUCGCUUCUCGUUGUCAGCGGCUGGUUGGCUGGGAAGAUGUGUUCAAUUAUUUAUCUCUCUGCUGGUCACGAGAGACAGAGAGAGACGGAAGCAAGUGAUGGAGAGAUGAAGUGAGUGAUGGAGAGAUGAAGCGAGUGAUGGUGAGACGUGGGUUGGGUUGGUGGAUAAGGACUCUGGGGAUUCCAUUCUCACAGCUAGCAUUGUGCUGGAUCAAAUCUACCUGACUUUUGAAAGGAAACAAAUUUAUAAUUCAUUUACAUUUUCCAACUGCAAAUUCCAGAAAUGGUAAUCAGAUUUUCUGCUGUCAUUCAGUUCCAGUUUCCACCAGGAACAUCUUUAGAGACUCAAAGUUAUUCAGACAUUUAUGCUAAACUCAUAGUCAUGUCUCUUGCUUCGUUCAUACGAUCUGUCUGUCUGUCUCUACCUAUCUAUCUGUCUGUUUGCAUGUCUAUCUAUCUGUCUGUCUGUCUAUCUAUCUAUCUACCUGUCUAUCUAUCUAUAUGUCUGCCUGUCUAUCAAUCUAUCUGUCUAUCUAUCUACCUGUCUAUCUAUCUACCUACCUAUCUACCUGUCUAUCUGUCUACCUACCUAUCUAUCUAUCUGUCUACCUACCUACCUAUCUAUCUACUUACCUACCUACCUACCUACCUACCUAUCUAUCUAUCUGUCUACCUACCUACCUAUCUAUCUAUCUGUCUAUCUCUCUCUCUCUCUCUCUCUCUCUCUAUCUAUCUACCUACCUACCUAUCUGUCUAUCUAUCCAUCUAUCUAUUCAUAUAUAUAUGGUACUUAAUUUAUCGUUGAUGUUUUAAACUCACUGUUUAAUUAAAUCAAAUUAGGGGUAUCUUUACAGCUGUUUCUAUUUAUAGAAAUGGGGUAAAUUUGCAUUAGCCUCAUUACAAUUGAUAAACAUUUUCAAAACGAUUAUAUGGGAAAAGAAGGUAAAGAUAAAAUAAGAAAUAAAGGAAAAGAGUUCGUUAAAGCAAAUUAUGCAAAUCAUUAAAACUUCUCCAUUCUGUAUAUCAAUACCAAGAUGCCUUUGAUUUGAACCCCAAUUCACUGACAUCAUAUCGGGCAACUUGGCAGCCGUACAUGUUAUUCCCAGGCUCCUGUAUACACUGUAGAUCAGUAUGGAAAGUAUUGGGUGCAGGAGUGGCUAUGUGGUAAGAAGCUUGCUUACCAACCAUAUGGUUCAGGGUUCAGUCCCACUUCGUGGCACCUUGGGCAAGUGUCUUCUGCUAUAGCCCCGGGCCGACCAAAGCCUUGUGAGUGGAUUUGGUAGACGGAAACUGAAAGAAGCCUGUCGUAUAUAUUUAUAUAUAUGUGUGUGUGUGUGUGUGUGUGUGUGUUUGUCCCCCCAACAUUGCUUGACAACCGAUGCUGGUGUGUUUACAUCCCCGUCACUUAGCGGUUCGGCAAAAAGAGACCGAUAGAAUAAGUACUAGGCUUACAAAGAAUAAGUCCUGGCGUCGAUUUGCUCGACUAAAGGUGGUGCUCCAGCAUGGCCGCAGUCAAAUGACUGAAACAAGUAAAAGAGUAAAAGAGGUUGUCCGGAAAGUUCAUGCCGAUUUAUAGUAGCUUACCUUUCGACUUAUUUUAGAACAUGGUUGAGUCCCUAAAAUAGGAUUUGACUCCACCUCCAUUCAGAGCACAGUUUAAGCUAUCUUUUCGUGGAAGAAGGUUUAUGUUCCUAUAACCUGUGUUAAUUCUGUAACCCUUUAAAAUGGAAGAUAAGCAAGUUUAUUUUCCGCACUUGAUGCUUUGGGAACCAGACAAAAAUUGGUGCAGCUCGACUGGGAUGUGUUACCCCAGCCUCCAUAUUCACCAGAUAUUGCUCCUUCGGAUUUCCACUUAUUCAGGUCUCUGCAGAAUAGUCUUAAUGGUAAAAAUUUCAAUUCCUUGGAUGACGUAAAAUGAUACCUUGAUGAAUUCUUUGCCAUGAAAACACCUCAAUUCUGGGAAGAGGGUAUUUUUAAGUUAAAGGAAAGAUGGAGACGCAUUGUGCCACAAAAGGGUUCAUAUUUGGUUGAUUAAAAAAUGUAAUGGCAAGUAUUUAUUGACCUUUUUCUUUCCUUUAAAAAUCGGUACGAACUUUCCGGACAACCCACUAUUAUUAUUAUUAUUAUUAUUAAGUGAGAGAGCAGUGCAGGACAUCAAUCCCUCAAAAAUGCUGCCCUUGGGGCAAAAUUUAAAACCAUUAUUAUUAUUAUUAUUAUUGGGUUGUCCAGAAAGUUUGUGCCGAUUUACAGUAGCUUACCUUUCGACUUACCCUCCCAGGCACCUCAAUUCUGGGAAGAGGGUAUUUUCAAGUUAAAGGAAAGAUGGAGACGCAUUGUGCAACAAAAGGGUUCAUAUUUGGUUGAUUAAAUAUGUAAUGGCAAGUAUUUAUUGACCUUUUUCUUGCCUUUAAAAAUCGGCAAGAACUUUCCGGACAAGCCAAUAUUUUUAUUAUGACAAUUGUUGCUAAGGUCAACAAAACAAUUAGACACACACAAAUAAUUCGUUUUUCAUAAUAAACGCAGGUUGUUUAUAUUUAAGUUCAACUUUUCUCAUAACUGUAAUUAUUCUCCUCUAUAUUGUUGUUGUUGUUGUAUCUUCCUGUGACUAAUUUAGUAUUUUUUUUGUCUUCUUCCAAUUAAAUUUGUCAUUGGGUUUAUUAGUCUUGUACUAGACGACAUGUCGUCAUCGUCAUCGUUGUCGUCGUUGUGUAUAUUCUUGGUUGAAGCAAGUGGAGAAAGUCGUUUGUCAUUCGUUAGUGUUUUAACGAAUAAGAAAAACAAGGCUGCAAACAAAAAUUAAUGCACACAUAUGUGUGCGCAUGCACAUGCAUGCACAUACACACACAAUUCUUCUUUGAAGUUUUGGCAAGCUAAGCUAUUGUUGGACUGGGCCUGUGCGUGUAUGCACAUGUGUGUGUGUGUAUGUAUACAUAUAUAUAUAUAUAUAUAUUCAUACACACAUACACAUAUUAAUAUAUAUAUAUAUACACACACACAUAUAUCUGUGUGUGUGUCCCUCUACCGUUCCUUGACAACCAAUAUAUAUAUAUAGAGAGAGAGAGAGAGAGAGAGAGAGAGAGAGCAGGACAAUGCAUCACCCGGUCCAGGAAUGGAAACCACAAUCUUAGGAUCAUGAGUUCAACACCCAAACCACUAAGCCACAUGCCUCCACACACACACACACAUCAUCAUCAUCAUCAUCAUUUAGCGUCCGCUUUCCGUGCUAGCAUGGGUUGGACGGUUCAACUGGUGUCUGUGAAGCCAGGAUGCUUCGUCAGGCCCAGUCAGAUCUGGCAGUGUUUCUACAGCUGGAUGCCCUUCCUAACGCCAACCACUCCGUGAGUGUAGUGGGUGCUUUUUAUGUGCCACCGGCACAGAAGCCAGACGAGGCUGGCGAACGGCCACGCUCGGAUGGUGUUUUUUACGUGCCACCGGCACGGAGGCCAGGUAGGGCUGGCACGGCCAUGAUCGGAUGGUGUUUGUUACGUGCCCACAGCACGGAGGCCAGUCGAUGCGGCACUGGCUACGGCCACGUUCGGAUGGUUUUCUUAUGUGUCACCGGCACUGGUACCACAAAAUACAAAUUCCAUUGAUGUUCAUCGAUUUUGAUUUUCACUUGCCUCAACAGGUCUUCACAAGUGUCCCAAGAAGGAAGGUAUGCACAGGUGGACUGACUACGUCCCAGGUAGGGGCCAUGGGUUAUGGCCUCACGUGUCCUGCCGGGUCUUCUCGCGCACAGCAUACUUCCAAAGGUCUCAGUCUCCGGUCAUUUCCUCGGUGAGACCUAAAGCGCGAAGGUCGCUCUUCACCACCUCGUCCCAGGUUUUGCUGGGUCUACCUCUUCCACAGGUUCCCUCAACCGCUAGGGUGUGGUACUUUUUCACACAACUAUCUUCAUCCAUUCUUACUACGUGUCCAUACCAGCAUAGACGCCUCUCUUGCACACCACAUCUGAUGCUUCUUAGGUCCAACUUUUCUCUCAAGGCACUUACACUCUGUCUGGUAUGAACACUGACAUUACACAUAUAAAUAAAAUUAAAUAAUGAGGGUAGAAAUUGAUAUUAAUCAAUUAAAACCAGUGGCUUAGCAUAUUUAAAAAAACCCGAAGAUUAAGAAUUGUGUUACAUACAAAAUUUAGAGGAAUGACCACUAAAGUGGACACCUAUCUUUAGCAUAUUAGGAAACCACUUUGGUAAUAUAUAUAAAUAUAUAUAUAUAUAUAAUUGCUGUGUGAAUGUAUAGUGAACUCAGAAAUCUCAUUUUCGCAAACAUCUAGAAUUUCAAUAAAAAAAAGUUAACCACAUCCAUAUGGCUAUUCUUUAAAGAAUACAAAACAAUAAAAAAAACAAGACCUGGAGAUGCAAUUAUAAUUUUUACUGAAGAAAGUCAAAAACUUUGUCAAUUAAGAACCUUGACCACUACAAAAAAUUCCCCAUGCUAAUAUGAAAACCACACCUCUUUACCUACCCCACGUUAACGAAUACAAAGGAAUAAAGAAAUGGUGUGGAAAUGCAAUUAUAAUUUUUACUAAAGAAAGUCAAAAAUAACAUCUGGGUUUUUUUAAUUAAAACUUUGACCAAUUCAAAUAUAAAACUUCUUUUUCCUUCCCCACCCUAAAAGGUCAAUAAGUACUAAACAAACAAAUCUGACCAUACUAAUACCAAAGCAACGCCUCUUUACCUACCCCUCCUUCUCAAAAUAUUUUUCUUCUGUUUUCUCCUUCGCAAAUCCCACAAUUUUUUUAUAUAUUAAAAAUGCCAAGAAGUCUAACUUUAAACCACUUUUUGAUAAAUCCGAUAACAGAAGAAAGCACAAAAAAGUGUAAAUUAAAUGUAAAUAGGCGCAGGAGUGGCUGUGUGGUAAGUAGCUUGCUAACCAACCACAUGGUUCCGGGUUCAGUCCCACUGCAUGGCACCUUGGGCAAGUGUCUUCUGCUAUAGCCUCGGGCCAACCAAUGCCUUGUGAGUGGAUUUGGUAGACGAAAACUGAAAGAAGCCCAUCGUAUGUAUAUAUAUAUAUAUAUGUGUGUGUGUGUGUGUGUGUGUGUGUGUGUUUGUCCCCCUAGCAUUGCUUGACAACCGAUGCUGGUGUGUUUACGUCCCCGUAACUUAGCGGUUCGGCAAAAGAGACUGAUAGAAUAAGUACUGGGCUUACAAAGAAUAAGUCCCGGGGUCGACUUGCUCGACUAAAGGUGGUGCUCCAGCAUGGCCGCAGUCAAAUGACUGAAACAAGUAAAAAAAAAAAUUUUUUUUUAAUUAAAAUAUCGUUUAACAUUCUGACUACCUUUUAAGUGGCUCCAUUCUAUUGAACAAUGCAAUCAUUAUAUCAAUUUAAAUGCGGGCCUAUCCUCAGCUGCAUAAAUAAAUAUAAAAUUUUUUAUCAGUUGGACACAUUAAAUAUAAUUUUAAUCAAAUUCUCUAAUUUGAAGACGGAGAAAGUCCAUGUUGCUACUAAUGUAACUCAGAAUAUACUACACUUCUAAGAACGAUAUGAAGUUUGUUAGGGUCAUGGUUUGUAAACGAUUGCGGUUCAAUUUUAAUUUAUUAGUCUUUUCUUAUCAACUACUAAAUCUUAGGCUAGAAGACAGUGUCUGCUUAGAAUGGAUAGACAGAGUGAGUUGACGGUUUAUAUUUGGGUAUGGUCAUAUAUAUUGUCAGGAUUUGAGGAAAUGUAUAAGUAACAGUCUAUAAAGGAGGCUGGGUAGGGAAAGACUCUAAAUCAAGAAGUCAAUUACCAGUUAAAGGGGCAAAAUGCUAAUAAAACCUAUGAUGUUAAUACAGAGGAAGUUAUCAUGGGGUACAAUGGAUGAAUGUGUAUAAACGGCACUGUCAUGCCUUGGGUUGUCAGAAGUGAAAGUAGUCAACUUCGUGUAUUUCCGUCGUCAAGUUUAUACCUUCGUUAAUUUACGCCGUUUAUUUACGUACCACCACGCUGUUAGGUUUAUAAAACAAUUGAAGUUCAGUUUAAAGUAUAUAAAUAAAUACAUUUCAUGUGUAAUGUAUACACAUGUGUAUAUAUAUAUAUAUAUAAACCUAACAGCAUGGUGGUACGUAAAUUAACGAAGGUAUAAACCUGACGGAAAUACACGAAGUUGACUACUUUCACUUCUGACAACCAAAGACAUGACAGUGCCCUCAUGGCACUGUCAUGCCUUUGCCAGCUGAGUGGACUGGAGCAACGUGAAAUGAAGUGUUUUGCUCAAGAACACAACGCGUCGCCCGGUCCAGGAAUCAAAACCACAACCAUACGAUCCCGAGUUCAACACCCUAACCACUAAGCCACACGUCUCCAUGAUACCUAUUUAUACAUAUAUAAUAUACAUACAUAUAUAUGUAGAUGUAUAUACGAUAUAUAUAUGUGUGUGUGUGUGUGUAUGUGUAAGAAAAAAUGGGAUUAAAUAUAUAUAUAUAUAUAUAUAUAUAUAUAUAUACAGUCUCUGACACAGUUCAAGCUAUCACUUCCUUGCCCCUCAUUAGACGAAUUUGUUUUUCCUCCCUUCAAGACCAGAAAAACAAGAUACUUUCGCACUUCCUCAGGUCGAACCAAGUUUACUCCACUCUGACUCUUGAAGCUGUUUCACUCCACCGUUUGUGGUGGUCAUAAGCCACAAUCACUGUUUAUGAAAAUACAUCACGGAUAUUCUGUUUUCGUGUGUAUUUGUGUACAAUCACAGCUAUUAUGGUAGCCGGCAUCCACACACACCUCGACAUUUAAGUAUAAUGCACUGUUGUCUCUCUCUCUCUCUCUUAACCGUCAUCAUCAUCAUCAGACAUAGAAAACAUACAGAAUGCUUCGAUGUAUAUCUAUUACGUAUUCUGUAUGUAUAUAGACAUGGCUAUUAUAUACACGCAAUGGAAUCUAUAUACACACACAUGCAUGUGUGUCUGUUUGCAAAGAAUUUGGUUAAUUAUCUCUGUCGUCAGCAAAUGAAUCACAUAUAGAUCUAUUUUGUGUACACACACAUGUAGAUCUUUGUGUAUGGACACACACACAAAUAUAUAUAUAUAUAUAUAUAUAUAUAUAUAUAUAUAUAUAUAUAUAUAUAUAUAUAAAUAAUAAUAAAUAUUAGGGAAUGAAUCCAAAAUUACAGGGAAAAAUCAGAUUUAGGGUUAAAUCCAAUUUUAUAUAUUAUAUAAUACAAUUGCAGCGUGGAAGGUGUUUAUAUUUAAGAAACACACAAAACCGUUAUUCACUAAGUUUAAUUUGUCAAAAUAUUUUCGUCGCUAUUAUAUUAAAAUUUUAUGUAUUGAUUAAGUCUUUCCUUGUUUGGUUUUAAAAUAGUGGUUUUGUCUCGAAUUAUAUUAUAUUAUAUUUAUAUAUAUAUAUAUAUAUAUAUAUAUAUAUAUAUAUAUAUAUAUAAUAUAUAUAUAUAUCAAUAAUAUAGGGUGAAAUUAAUUAAUUUAGAAAUAAUCAUUAAUUUCACCAAGUAGGGUUCGGCAUGUAAAAGACCCAUUCAAGGAAGGUUUAAGUAAUACUAAUUAAUUAAGGGUUCAGCAACGAUUUGCUUCACCACAUUCGGUAUGUGGUGAAGCAAAUCUUGUCUGAACCCUUAAUUAAUUAGUAUAUAUAUAUUCUUUUACUCUUUUACUUGUUUCAGUCAGUUGACUGCAGCCAUGCUGGAGCACCGCCUUUAAUCGAGCAACUCGACCCCGGGACUUAUUGUUUUGUAAGCCCAGUACUUAUUCUAUCGGUCUCUUUUGCCGAACCGCUAAGUAACGGGGACAUAAACACACCAGCAUCGGUUGUCAAGCAAUGCUAGGGGGACAAACACAGACACACAAACACAUACACACACACACACAUAUAUAUAUAUAUAUAUAUAAAUCCACUCGCAAGGCUUUGGUCGGCUUGAGGCUAUAGUAGAAGACACUUGCCCAAGGUGCCACGCAGUGGGACUGAACCCGGAACCAUGUGGUUGGUAAACAAGCUACUCCUGCGCCUAUAUAUAUAUAUACAAAUAAAUGAAAGAAUGGAGUUGAACGACGAAAUUAGCAAAAUUCCUCUAUUUUAUUUUCGACAUAUGUUUCGAAGGCUGCAUAUUCCUAAUUUCGAAGGAAUAAGGGGUGCAUUAUGCCUUCUUCUCAUCAGGAAGAACAAGGAACUUAUGUCAGCAUCAAGAUGCACAAAAACUUUUAGAUGACUGCCCACAGUUUUUGUAAAAGUUUUUGUGCAUCUUGAUGCCGACAUAAGUUCCUUGCUUUUCCUGAUGAGAAGGCGGCAUAAUGCAACCCUUAUUCCUUCGAAAUUAGGAAUAUGCAGCCUUCGAAACAUAUGUCGAAAAUAAAAUAGAGGAAUUUUGUUAAAUCGUCGUUCAACUCCAUUCUUUCAUUUAUUUGUAUUUAAAAAAAAACACACAAAUUUCCACACGAUAGCACGUGAUCUCUGCCCUAGGCAUGUAGCUUCAACCGUGUUUUUCUGACGUGAAUUUGCUACCCAGGUACCGGUUAACCGAAUUAUCCAUAAUAAGAUAAUUCAUUCAACUACUCAAUUAUAUAUAUAUAUAUAUGGCAUUACGACAUGCGAAACUUCGCCUAUAUAUAUAUAUACUAGCAGUAUCGCCCGGCGUUGCUCGGGUUUGUAAGGGAAUUAACUAUAAAGCAUUUUUAGAGAGUUAUAGCCAAAAAAUGCAUUAAAAAUGGAAAAAAUAUGAUGGUAAAUUUUUUUUUAAAUCGUUGACUCAUCGUCAACAUUUUUAGAGAGUUACUUCCCUUAUAUAAUAGCGAAAAAAAUGCAUUAAAAUGAAAUAAAAUGAUGGUAAAUUUUUUUUUUAAACGUAGACUCAUCGUAGACGCGCGCUAAUACCCAGAAGGGCUCGAUAUGAAUCACGACUAUAAGAUACCCGGUUUUGGUUACACUGCACCGUAAAAUGUGGGAAUAGUUAGGAAUCUAAAUCGGAGGAGACAGACACACAACUUCACUUUUAUAUAUAAAGAUAUAUAUAUACAGGUUGCGUAUAUAUAUAUAUAUACUUCUUUACAGAUAUAGUGUGAAUAUAUAUAUAUAUAUAUAUAAUAAAAUCAACAAAUUUCACCAAGUAGUAUUUCGGUAUGGACCAGAUACAUUUCAAAAAAAAGUGUUGUUUUUUAUAUAUAUGGCGGGGCUAGGGUUAGGGUUUGUCUUAGGGUUAGGGGUGGAAGAAAAGGGCUUCUGUUAUCUUCAGAAAUGUAAACAAACUAUCCCGAAGUAUCGCCACAUACCCUAACCUUAAUCCUAACCCUAACCCCCAUAUAAAAAAAAAAAAAAAAAAAACCCUUUUUUGUAAUGUAUCUGGUACUUCCAGAAGUAUACCGAUACUUGUACCGUAACAUCGCCGGAAAAAAAAACCCAUAUUUGGUAAAAAAAAAUAAGGGUUUUUGCAACAAGUUGUUUGACCACAUACCGAAAAUUUAUAUGCACAUAAAUCUAGAAAUAUUAGGAAAACCUACCUUCCAUAUUUCCAAUCAAGCGAGACAUCAGAACAUCUAAAAGCUAAUCAGGAUAACCACGUGUGUAGAGGCGAAUGAAUAUUUCCCGCCAGAAUUUUUACCGCGUCAAAAAAGUAGAACUGCCGAAAAAAGAUUCGUAUUUUUGUCGUAGGGGAGUGAAAUGUGGAAGCACUCCGUCGGUUACGACGAUGAGGGUUCCGGUUGAUCCGAAUCAACGGAACAGCCUGCUCGUGAAAUUAACGUGUAAGUGGCUGAGCACUCCACAGACACGUGUACCCUUAACGUAGUUCUCGGGGAUAUUCAGCGUGACACAGAGAGUGACAAGGCCGGCCCCUUUGAAAUACGGGUACAACAGAAACAGGAAGUAAGAGUGAGAGAGAAAGUUGUGGUGAAAGAGUACAGCAGGGGUCACCACCAUCCCCUGCCGGACCCUCGUGGAGCUUUUAGGUGUUUUCGCUCAAUAAACACUCACAACGCCCGGUCUGGGAAUCGAAACCGCGAUCCUAUGACCACGAGUCCGCUGCCCUAACCACUGGGCCAUUGCGCCUCCACUGAGAGUAAAAUAAUCAUUGUAAUUAUAGGGUGAAAUAUAAUUAAUUUAAUAAAAUCAACAAAUUUCACCUAGUGGUAUUUCGGUAUGGAAAAGGACCAUAUUCGGUAAAAACUUAUAUAAUUAUAACAAUAAGGGUUUUUGCAACGAGUUGCUUGACCACAUACCGAAGAUUUUAGAAAUAGCAGCCAAAGGACUACUAUUUCAUUUUUCUACAAAAAUAUGUGAGUUACAAAUGUUGUUGUCUGUGGAGACAUGUUUUUGUAGACAAAGGAAAUAGUAGUCCUUUGGCUGCUGUUUCUAAAAUCAUCGGUAUGUGGUCAAGCAACUUGUUGCAAAAACCCUUAUUGUUAUAAUUAUAUACAUACAUAUAUCUCAUUUCAUUUUAUAUAUUGCCUUUACUCAUAUGUAAUGGUGUAUUAAAGUAUGGAUUGAGUAUCAUCGGAUAGUUGAUGUUUUACUGAUUUAAGUAUGUUUCUCCAUUCUCUAAUUUUGUAGUACAUACAUAUACAUAUAUAUAUAUAUAUGGUGUCACAGCCUCAGGAACGAACCAAAUAAAAGAAUAUAUACAGGGUGUGGUGAAUAAACUGUCGUCCAAAUAACUCUGACAUCUCAUUUUAACAGAUAUAUUUACCAAAAUUCCCUAAAAAUAUCUUGAAAUCCUAAAAGAGUAAAUUUAUUCAAUAAAACCGCCAUUGGCUUCGACCAUGGUCGUCUCCAAGGCAACGGUUCGACUUGAGCCGAAACACCUGGUCGCUCUCUCUCGCGCGCACACUUUAGUACGAAUGCACUCACACACGUCCAUCCAUUGUCUUUGAUGUCCACGAAUGGCUUGAAAAACCCAACAAAAACUCGAACUCAGACUCCUUGACCCCACACCCAGACACAUACCCACACGCACGUCCAGGGGCCGGAAAAUAAACUGUCGUCUGAAUAACUCUGACAUCUCAUUUUAACAGAUAUAUUUACCAAAAUUCCAUAAAAAUAUCUUGAAAUCCUAAAAGAGUAAAUUUAUUCAAUAAAACCGCCAUUGGCUUCGACCAUGGCCUCCAAGGCAACGGUUCGACUUUAGUACGAAUGCACUCACACACGUCCAUCCAUUGUCUUUCAUGUCCACGAAUGGCUUGAAAAACCAAACAUACACUCGACCACACACACUCAGACUCGACCUCACACUCACACACAUUCAGGGGACGGAAAAUAAACUGUUGUCUAAAUUACAUAAAAAUGAAAAUUACGCUGACAUCUCAUUUUAACAGACAUACUCUUUUACUCUUUUCUCUCUUUUACUUCUUUCAGUCAUUUGACUGCGGCCAUGCUGGAGCACCGCCUUUAGUCGAGGAAAUCGACCCCGGGACUUAUUCUUUGUAAGCCCAGUACUUAUUCUAUCGGUCUCUUUUUGCCGAACCGCUAGGUGACGGGGACGUAAACACAUCAGCAUCGGUUGUCAAACAAUGCUAGGGGGACAAACACACACACACAGACACACACACACAUACAUAUAUAUAUAUAUAUAUAUAUAUAUAUAUAUAUAUGUAUGUAUAUAUAUAUAUAUACACAUAUAUAUACGAUGGGCUUCUUUCAGUUUCCGUCUACCAAAUCCACUCACAAGGCAUUGGUCGGCCCGGGGCUAUAGUAGAAGACACUUGCCCAAGGUGCCACGCAGUGGGACUGAACCCGGAACCAUGUGGUUGGUUAGCAAGCUACUUACCACACAGCCACUCCUGCGCCUAUUUACCAAAAUUACAUAAAAACAUUUUGAAGUACUAAAGAGUAAAUUUAUUCAAUAAAAUCGCAAUUGGCUUCAACCAUGGCCUGCAGAUGACUUCAGAAUCUCCUGCAACUCUUCUGAACGGUCUCCUUGUUUAAGUUGGUAAAUGCUGCCAUAAUCCUUGCCUUCGGUCCAUCUUUGGUGUUACAAGGAGUUUUGUUGGUCUCUCAGUCAACUGAGCCCCACACAUAAUAAUCAAGGGAGUUGCAGUCUGGGGAGUUAGGUGGCCUAAUACUAGGGGUGAUGUGGUCGCAUAAAUUGUCUGACAGCCAUCACUGGGUUCUCCUGUUCGUGUGGUAUGAUGCUGAGUCCUGUUGCCAAAUAUAGGGUCUUCUAGCAGCCACCUUCUUGGCCCAGGGCGGCACUACCUCCUCCAAGUUCUUGAUGUAGGCCUCUGUGUUGAGUCUGAGGCUGUGUGGGAAGAUGAAUCGAGACAUAACGUCGCCAUUACUUGUGAUCAUUCUAAACACCUUUGCAAUCACCUUUAGACUCAUCCAAUUCUUUCCGAAUUAUUUGCACUGUCCUCAGAUUGACACCCAAACACUCUGAAAUGUUUGUAUUGGAGCUCCCGGUGCAAAUGCUCAGCAGUACAGCAUGCUGUUUUCAAGUUUCCGGCUGAGUGAAUUACGUCAUGAGGCUGUUUUGCUCACAGACGGUGCCCAACUGACCCUACGAUACUGUGUAGUCGACAAAAUCAAAAACAAGCAAUGCACAUGCAUGAAAAUAAAAUAAAAUAAAUACCAGUUGUGUACUGAGCUCGAUCCAAUCGACUUGCCCCUCCAGCCACACAAAAAAAUUUCGGACCUUUUGCCUAGAGAAGAAAAGUAUACGUGUGUGCAUGUGUAUAUAUGCAUGUGCGUGUGUGUGUGAGUGUGUGUGUGUGUGUGAGUGUGUGUGUGUGAGUGUGUGUGUGUGUGUGUGUGUGAGUGUGUGUGUGUGUGUGUGUGUGUGUGUGUGUGUGUGUGUGUGUGUGUGUGUGAGUGUAUGUGUGAGUGAGUGUGUGUGUGAGUGUGUGUCUGUGUGAGUGAGUGUGUGUGUGUGUGCAUGUGUGUGUGUGGGUGAGUGCGUGUGUGUACCAGUUUUCUAACAGUGAUGUUCUAUUCUAUGAGACGAGCAGCUGGGAAGAAGUAAAUAGACGAAAUGUGAUGACAAACGAAGAUAAAGCCAUGGGUUCUCGGGGUGGAGGCUGGAGCAGGGCGGGAAGGGGUCGCAUUUAUCGGUGGGGGUAAGUACAAGCAAACCCGUGUGUGUACGACCGUUCUCUGAGUGCAGAAGAUUUCUAUCUCCAGCCCCCAUGCUGACACUCCUGCCAGCCGGCGGGGACGGCAUGCAUGGCAAGCCUCUGAAAUUCCGGGUUACUUCUAUGCCCACACACACACACACACACACACACGCACAAAUAUAUAAAUAUUUUUUUUUAUAAAUAUAAAUAUAUAUAUAUAUUUAUAUUUAUAAAAAUAUAAACAUAUAUAUAUAUUUAUAUAUAUUUAUAUAUAUAGACAUAAAUAUAAUAAAUAUAUAUAAUAUAUAUAUACUCUUUUACUCUUUUACUUGUUUCAGUCAUUUGACUGUGGCCAUGCUGGAGCACCGCCUUUAAUCGAGCAACUCGACCAUGGGACUUAUUUUUUGUAAGCCCAGUACUUAUCCUAUCAGUCCGUUUUGCCGAACCGCUAAGUGAUGGGGACGUAAACACACCAGCAUCGGUUGUCAAGCAAUGCUAGGGGGACAAACACAGACACACAAACAUAUACACACACAUGCAUAUAUAUAUAUAUAUAUAUAUAUAUAUAUAUAUAUACAUAUAUACGACAGGCUUCUUUCAGUUUCCGUCUACCAAAUCCACUCACAAGGCAUUGGUUGGCCCGGGACUAUAGUUGAAGACACUUGCCCAAGAUGCCACACAGUGGGACUGAACCCGGAACCAUGUGGUUGGUUAGCAAGCUACUUACCACACAGCCACUCCUUUUUUUUUAUAAAUAUAAAUAUAUAUAAAUGUAUAUAUAUAUUUAUAUUUACAAAGAUAUAAACAUAUAUUUAUAUUUAUAUACUAGCAGUAUCGCCCGGCGUUGCUCAGGUUUGUAAGGGAAAUAACUAUAAAGCAUUUUUAGAGAGUUAUAGCCAAAAAAUGGAAAAAAAAUGAUGGUAAAUUUUUUUUUUAGUUAAAAAGGUCGAGUUGCGUCCCCUAGACAGUCUAUGGUUUGUGUUUCUGAUUCUCGACCCCAUGUCGAAUUUAUCGAUUUUUUUCAGAACUGGGGGAACUUUUCAAAAUUUUCGCUGCGUUAGUUUUGAAUUAUGACAUUGGGCUAUGUGUGUGUCAAGUUUCAUCAGAAUCGGUUGAAAGCCGUGGUCAGGGUGAGGGUACAAGCAAACAGACACACAGAAACACACACAGACAAACUGCCGUUUAUAUAGAGAGAGAUAUAGACAUAAAUAAAUAUAAUAAAUAUAUCAUCAUCAUCAUCAUCAUCAUCAUCAUUUAGCAUCCGCUUUCCAUGCUAGCAUGGGUUGGAUGGUUCAACUGGGGCCUGGGAAGCCAGGAGGCUGCACCAGGCUCCAGUCUGAUCUGGCAGAGUUUCUACAGCUGGAUGCCCUUCCUAACGCCAACCACUCCGUGAGUGUAGUGGGUGCUUUUUACGUGCCAGACGGGGCUGGCAAACGGCCACGGUCGGAUGGUGCUUCUUACGUGCCACAGGCACGGGGGCCAGGCAAGGCUGGUAUUUUUAUUAUUAUUAUUGUUAUUAUUAUUAUUAUUAUUAAUAUUAUUGUUGUUGUUGUUAUUAUUAUUAUUGUUAUUAUUAUUAUUAUUAUUAUUAUUAUUAUUAUUUAUUAAUUUAUUUUAUCAUCAUUAUUAUUUAUUUAUUCUAUUGCAGAAUUCUCUACGUUUGUGAGUUUGACACUUGAAACCAGAACUGAAUCCAUUCCUUGGUCUUCAACCUUCGACAGUUUACUCUGAACACCACGCUACGUUGAUGCCAUUGCUCGCUUAUAUUUCGUAAACCUCUCCACCAGUCCACACACCAUCCACCCAUCUAAAUAUCUCGAGCUACCAUCUAGUUUCAGAAAACCUCUUGCCCGGAAAUUCACCGUUUAUUAAUCCGCCAUGGAUCUGGAAAAUAUGACAUUUCGUUCACCGGGCUCUGAUGUCGAUGCGAGACAUGUCCUCAUCGAAGGCGUCUUACCGCCUGCCUGCAUCUGUGGAAUCGUCGGCAUUAUAAUCACGUUGAUAAUAUUAAGCCAUAAACACAUGGCCACCUCCACCAAUACGUACUUGAUUGGAUUGGCAGCUGCGGAUUUGAUGUUUCUGAUUAUUGUUUCGUUGCGUCUGUGGGGUGUGAUGGUCUCGCAUAGCGACUUGAACACCUGGGAGAUAUUUACCGCUUAUUCGGAGAUUUUCUUGCGAAUGUUCAACCUGAUUUCCGUAUGGAUGAUAGUCAUGCUAGCGGUUGAACGCUUUAUAGCCAUUUGCAUUCCUUAUAAAGCGAUGGACAUGUGCACGGUCAACCGAUCACGGUGCAUCGUGGUUUUCAUCUACAUUGCUGCUUUCGUUUGCCAAUCACUGCACUUCGCCAAGUACAAGAUUGUGGCUUCGCACACCGAAUUUAACGAGAGCGAAUACACACUGCACCACACACAGCUCUCCGGAGACGUUCUCUUCACCAUCAUCUACGGAUGGGUUUUCGAAGGCCUGAUCGGCGUCAUCAUCCCAUUCGUGUUAAUCCUGGUCUUGAACAGCCGCCUCAUAUACGAAAUACACAAAUCGACACAAUACCUUAAGCGACAGAUUGGCGCCAACACGCGAACCAGCUUCGACAUCAGUUCAGAACAAAUGAAAAUCACAACAAUGCUGAUCGCGAUGUGCGUCGUCUUCCUCAUCUGCCAGGCUCCGUAUGUCCUCUACAAUUACGUCAUUAGCAUACAUGCCGGAAGCUUCAGGGGCCGGCACCAUUUAUUAAUUAUGGCAGUCUCAAUCCUAUUAGCGGCAAUGAAAUCAACCAUAAACUUUGUGCUUUACUGUUGGUUCAGCGAAAAGUUUUGGACCACUUUUAAAAGUCUGUUGUGCUUCAGGUGUGCAAAGUUGCGCAACCUGACCCAAAACCAAUCAAACGGUAACCCAAAGAACAUAAACCCCAGAAAUAAUUCCGUCUCCAAUUCUAAAGAAACUACCAUUUAAUUCUACGCGAUUCCCAUCUUCCAAUCUCCACGCUUACCAGUCUGUCUCUGUUUCAUAUACAUACAUGCAUACAUACAUACAUACAUAGAUACAUACAUAUACAUAUAUACAUACAAACAUACAUACAUAUACAUAUAUACAUACAAACAUACAUACAUACAUACAUACAUACAUACAUACAUACAUACAUACAUACAUACAUAUACAUAUAUACAUACAAACAUACAUACAUACAUACAUACAUACAUACAUACAUAUACAUAUAUACAUACAAACAUACAUACAUAUACAUAUAUACAUACAAACAUACAUACAUACAUACAUACAUACAUACAUACAUACAUAUACAUAUAUACAUACAAACAUACAUACAUACAUACAUACAUAUACAUAUAUACAUACAAACAUACAUACAUACAUACAUACCCCCACACAUAUAUACAAUCAUACACAUACAUACAUAUGCAUAUAUAUUUACACACAUACAUGCAGAUAUAUACAAACAUACAUACAUACAUGCAUACAUAGAUACAUACAUAUACAUAUAUACAUACAAACAUACAUACAUAUACAUAUAUACACAAAUUGAGAUAGGGGUUGUUGUAAAUGCAACCCUCCAUGGGAUAACAUAUAUCCAAUAUACUGCUAGUAAAGCACCCAACAAAGUUAAUACAUAAAUGUUAAGAAUUGCAAUGCAAUUAAUUCAUUUACUGUAUUAUAUGGGCAAAGGUAAAAUGUUUUACCACAAAUUAAUAAUACAAGAUAAGAAAAUGGAGAAAUACAUCUAAAUCAUUAAUCAACUACCAGAUAAUACCCAUUCACAUACUUUAUUGAACCACCACAUAAGAACAUUAAGGUUUAACAAAACAACGUACAUGAAUGAGUAAUACAAUACAAUAGGUACAAUCAUUAUAAGAGGAUAUAAAUAAAUAAAUAUAAAUAGAUAUAAAUAGC